GCUUGACUGUAGCUUGUAAUUGGGUUCGGGCUUUUUUUGCGCAGCCUAGGUGGGAGGCAACGAUGAUUUUUUUCCGGAAAAAUUUGAGCCGUUAGUGAGAGACCACUCUGAAAAGGCUAGAAUCCUAAUAAUGAUCCUUGAAUCAGGACAUUUGACAGUUGCAGGUGGGCAGUUUUACUGGGGCGGUAUUCUCCUAAAAAGUAACGGAGGGGUGCAAAGGUUCCCUCAGGCUGGACGGAAAUCAGCUUAAGAGUGUAAAGGCAAAAGGGAGCUUGACUGCAAGACCUACAAGUCGAGCAGGGGCGAAAGCCGGCCUUAGUGAUCCGACGGUACCACGUGGAAGGGCCGUCGCUCAACGGAUAAAAGUUA
Molecule: ribosomal RNA, 369 nt
Filed under: uncultured alga
Lineage: Eukaryota
Description: partial 23S ribosomal RNA
Rfam family: Bacterial large subunit ribosomal RNA
Source: RNAcentral